Molecule: ribosomal RNA, 772 nt
Filed under: uncultured bacterium
Lineage: Bacteria
Description: bacterial SSU rRNA
Rfam family: Bacterial small subunit ribosomal RNA
Source: RNAcentral
AGAGUUUGAUCAUGGCUCAGGACGAACGCUGGCGGCGUGCUUAACACAUGCAAGUCGAGCGAUGAGAUCCCUUCGGGGAUGGAUUAGCGGCGAACGGGUGAGGAACACGUGAGGAAUCUGCCUUCUACACUGGGAUAACUCCGGGAAACCGGGGCUAAUACCGGAUAUGAAACUCGGUGGCAUCACUGAGUUUGGAAAGUUUUUCGGUAGAAGAUGACCUCGCGGCCUAUCAGCUUGUUGGUGAGGUAACGGCUCACCAAGGCGACGACGGGUAGCCGGCCUGAGAGGGCGACCGGCCACACUGGGACUGAGACACGGCCCAGACUCCUACGGGAGGCAGCAGUGGGGAAUAUUGGGCAAUGGGGGAAACUCUGACCCAGCGACGCCGCGUGCGGGAUGAAGGCCUUCGGGUUGUAAACCGCUUUCAGCAGGGAAGAAGCGAAAGUGACGGUACCUGCAGAAGAAGCACCGGCUAACUAUGUGCCAGCAGCCGCGGUAAUACAUAGGGUGCAAGCGUUGUCCGGAAUUAUUGGGCGUAAAGAGCUCGUAGGUGGUUCGUAACGUCGGGUGUGAAAAUCUGGGGCUCAACCCCAGACCUGCAUUCGAUACGGGCGAACUAGAGUGUGGUAGGGGAGACUGGAAUUCCUGGUGUAGCGGUGGAAUGCGCAGAUAUCAGGAGGAACACCAAUGGCGAAGGCAGGUCUCUGGGCCAUUACUGACACUGAGGAGCGAAAGCGUGGGGAGCGAACAGGAUUAGAUACCCUGGUAGUCC